Molecule: ribosomal RNA, 253 nt
Filed under: uncultured bacterium
Lineage: Bacteria
Description: partial 16S ribosomal RNA
Rfam family: Bacterial small subunit ribosomal RNA
Source: RNAcentral
UACAGAGGGGGCAAGCGUUGUUCGGAAUUACUGGGCGUAAAGGGCGCGUAGGCGGCCCGCUAAGUCGAACGUGAAAUCCCCGAGCUCAACUCGGGAACUGCGUCCGAUACUGGCGGGCUUGAAUCCGGGAGAGGGAUGCGGAAUUCCAGGUGUAGCGGUGAAAUGCGUAGAUAUCUGGAGGAACGCCGGUGGCGAAAGCGAAGGACUGGACCUCUUCUGACGCUGAGGCGCGAAAGCUAGGGGAGCAAACGGG